GAUCAUGGCUCAGAUUGAACGCUGGCGGUAGGCUUAACACAUGCAAGUCGUGCGAGAAAGUACCUUCGGGUACGAGUAGAGCGGCGGACGGGUGAGUAACGCGUAGGAAUCUACCUAGUAGAAGGGGAUAGCCCGAGGAAACUCGGAUUAAUACCGUAUACCUCCUUAGGGAGAAAGAGGGCUUAGCUUUGAUGCUCUCGCUAUUAGAUGAGCCUGCGUAAGAUUAGCUAGUUGGUGAGGUAAUGGCUCACCAAGGCAACGAUCUUUAGCUGGUCUGAGAGGACGAUCAGCCACAUUGGGACUGAGACACGGCCCAGACUCCUACGGGAGGCAGCAGUGGGGAAUAUUGGACAAUGGGCGCAAGCCUGAUCCAGCCAUACCGCGUGUGUGAAGAAGGCUUUCGGGUUGUAAAGCACUUUAAGUAAGGAGGAAAAGGUUAUAGAUAAUACCUGUAACCCGUGACGUUACUUACAGAAUAAGGACCGGCUAAUUCCGUGCCAGCAGCCGCGGUAAUACGGAAGGUCCAAGCGUUAAUCGGAAUUACUGGGCGUAAAGGGCGCGUAGGUGGUUUAUUAAGUUGGAUGUGAAAGCCCUGGGCUCAACCUAGGAACUGCAUCCAAAACUAGUUCACUAGAGUACGAAAGAGGGAAGUAGAAUUCACAGUGUAGCGGUGGAAUGCGUAGAUACUGUGAAGAAUACCAAUGGCGAAGGCAGCUUCCUGGUUCUGUACUGACACUGAGGUGCGAAAGCGUGGGUAGCGAACAGGAUUAGAUACCCUGGUAGUCCACGCCGUAAACGAUGACAACUAGCUGUUGGAAAACAAUAGUUUUUCAGUGGCACAGCUAACGCAAUAAGUUGUCCGCCUGGGGAGUACGGCCGCAAGG
This 884-nucleotide ribosomal RNA is filed under the name uncultured bacterium. RNAcentral's name for it is "bacterial SSU rRNA". It matches the Rfam family "Bacterial small subunit ribosomal RNA", at positions 15 to 893 of the family's 1533-position model. The record is from RNAcentral.